Long non-coding RNA from Nothoprocta perdicaria, 349 nucleotides. RefSeq lists it as uncharacterized. The record is from RefSeq and is a predicted model, not a curated record. Lineage: Eukaryota; Metazoa; Chordata; Aves; Tinamiformes; Tinamidae. The transcript has 4 exons.
UCAUUGUAGAGGUUUAUCAUACCUGCCUGGACAGAAGGAAGGACUGUGAAGAUGGUCUGGGUUUCAGGAGUGAGGCCAGUCUGAAGGACUUGGAUACCUUUGAGCAGCAUGAGUCCGUUUUACCCUUCGCAGAGCAGUGCUGACUGUGUUGAAGGACACGGAGGAUGAUGGCUCUGCUCCUUUAGAAUCUUGGUCUGGAUUUGCCUUGGAAAUUAGCUGGAGAUAUGUCCUUCRUGCUUGACCAUGGCUCAGCGAGCAAGGAUCAGCUGUUGCAACCCCAAGGUUGGGCAUAUUUCAUCUCCUUGUAUGGAUCCCAGAAGAGGAGCUUGUGAGGAAGGAAAACCUGCUU